RNAcentral lists this ribosomal RNA (1469 nucleotides) under uncultured Bordetella sp. Its description in RNAcentral is "partial 16S-23S ribosomal RNA intergenic spacer". It matches the Rfam family "Bacterial small subunit ribosomal RNA". The record is from RNAcentral. Lineage: Bacteria; Pseudomonadati; Pseudomonadota; Betaproteobacteria; Burkholderiales; Alcaligenaceae.
AGAAGGUUCGAUUAUAUCUUCAGAUUGAACGCUGGCGGGAUGCUACACAUGCAAGUCGAACAGCUGGACUUCGGUCUGGUGGCGAGUGGCAGCGGGUGAUAAUGUAUCGGAACGUGCCUAGUAGCGGGGGAUAACUACGCGAAAGCGUAGCUAAUACCGCAUACGCCCUUCGAGGAAAGCGGGGACCUUUCGGGCCUGCACUGUGGAAACGGCCGAUAUCGGAUUCGCCAGUUGGUGGGGUAACGGCUCACCAAAGGCGACGAUCCGUAGCUGGUUUGAGAGGACGACCAGCCACACUGGGACUGGCCACGGCCCAGACUCCUGCAGGAGGCAGCAGUGGGGAAUUUUGGACAAUGGGGAAACCUGAUCAGCCAUCCCGCGUGUACGUGAAACGCCGGGUUGUAACGAAAGCACUUUUAACCCAGAAGAAACGGCACGGGAUAAUACCCGUGCAACUGACUGACUUACCUGCAGGUCAAGCCUGGCUAACUACGUGCCCAGCAGCCGCGGUAAUACGUGAGUGCCGGCGUUAAUCGGAAUUACUGGGCGUAGCGUGCGCGAACAGCGUUCGAAAAAAUCAUAAAAUCAAGCCGCUUUGGAACUGCAUUUUUACUACCGAGCUAGAAUGGCCAGCCAGAGGUGGAAUUCCGCGUGUAGCAGUGAAAUGCGUAGAUAUGCGGAGGAACACCAAAUGGCGAGAGCGGCCUCUACAGGAUAACACUGUGGCACUGUGCACAGCGUGGGGAGCAAACAGGAUUAGAUACCCUGGUAGUCCCGCCCUAAACGAUGUCAACUAGCUGUGAGCCUUCAGCGGUGUGGCCCGCAAUAUGCGCAGUGAGAUUGACCGCCUGCCAGAGAUACGGUCGCAAGAUUAAACCAGAAAGGAAUUGGCGCGGGGACCCGCACAAGCGGUGGAUGAUGUGGAUUAAUUCGAUGCAACCGCGAAAAACCUUACCCUUACUGACAUGUCUGGAGAUCCCGAAGAUUUGAGGUGCUCGCAAAGGAGCAGACUUACCAGGUGCUUUUGCAUGGCUGUCGUCAGCUCCGUAUGUGAGAUGUUGGGUUAAGUCCCGCAACGAGCAACCCUUGUCAUUAGUUGCUACGAAAGGGCACUCCUAAUGAGACUGCCGGUGACAAACGGAGGAAAGUGGGGAUGACGUCAAGUCCUCAUGGCCCUUAUGGGCAGGGCUUCACAGGAAGCCAUACAAUGGUCCAGGACAGAGAGAUUGCCCAACCGCGAGGGGAGCCAAUCCCAGAAACCCGAUCGUAGUCCGGGAUCGCAGUCUGCAACUCAGCUGCGUGAAGUCGGAAUCGCUAGUAAUCUCGCAGGAUCGCCUGUCGCAGUGAAUACGUUCGGUCUUGCACACGCCCGUCUUUUUGCAUGCGGAUCGGUUCACCAGAAGUAGUUAGCCUAACCGUAAGGGCGAUUACCACGGUAAGUUCAUGACUGGGAGUGAAGUCAUGGGUAA